UCCAUACCGGAAGUGUGCCAGCAGCCGCGGUAAUACGUAGGGUGCAAGCGUUAUCCGGAAUUAUUGGGCGUAAAGGGCUCGUAGGCGGUUCGUCGCGUCCGGUGUGAAAGUCCAUCGCUUAACGGUGGAUCCGCGCCGGGUACGGGCGGGCUUGAGUGCGGUAGGGGAGACUGGAAUUCCCGGUGUAACGGUGGAAUGUGUAGAUAUCGGGAAGAACACCAAUGGCGAAGGCAGGUCUCUGGGCCGUUACUGACGCUGAGGAGCGAAAGCGUGGGGAGCGAACAGGAUUAGAAACCCCAGUAGUCCGGUUCAUACGGACG
Molecule: ribosomal RNA, 320 nt
Filed under: Escherichia coli
Lineage: Bacteria; Pseudomonadati; Pseudomonadota; Gammaproteobacteria; Enterobacterales; Enterobacteriaceae
Description: bacterial SSU rRNA
Rfam family: Bacterial small subunit ribosomal RNA
Source: RNAcentral